GACGAACGCUGGCGGCGUGCUUAACACAUGCAAGUCGAGCGGUAAGGCCCUUUCGGGGUACACGAGCGGCGAACGGGUGAGUAACACGUGGGUGACCUGCCCUCAGCUCUGGGAUAAGCCUGGGAAACCGGGUCUAAUACCGGAUAUGACUCCAUGACGCAUGUUGUGGGGUGGAAAGCCUUGUGCGGCUGAGGAUGGGCCCGCGGCCUAUCAGCUUGUUGGGUGGGGNGAUGGCCUACCAAGGCGACGACGGGUAGCCGGCCUGAGAGGGCGACCGGCCACACUGGGACUGAGACACGGCCCAGACUCCUACGGGAGGCAGCAGUGGGGAAUCUUGCGCAAUGGGCGAAAGCCUGACGCAGCGACGCCGCGUGAGGGAUGACGGCCU
This 388-nucleotide ribosomal RNA is filed under the name uncultured bacterium. Its description in RNAcentral is "bacterial SSU rRNA". It matches the Rfam family "Bacterial small subunit ribosomal RNA", at positions 28 to 417 of the family's 1533-position model. The record is from RNAcentral.